AUGCUUUCAUUUUCUAAUCAACAGGGCAGCGGUGAAGGAGUUGAGGUGGCUCCAGGGGAAGAUGUGGAGCGACCAUCACAAGCAGGCAGGAUAAGGGCAUCACCAGCGCGCUUUGCAAAUUUCAACGCCUCUCUAACCCCACUACAGAAAUCAGAGCUAGUUUCGAGGUCGGUCGGGGGGCGAUUGAAUUUAUUAGACACACUUCCAGCGGACCUCACUAAGUUCCUGGUGCAGUCCUACCAGCCACAGACCUCUGAAAUGGUUUUCCCAGGAAGGGGAAGGAUCCGUGUCAAUGCUGACAGUGUUCAGAGGGUAUUUGAUCUCCCAAACAAGGGUCCAAAAGUCAGAUAUUUAGUUGACAAGGAUGCCACUAGGAGAUUCAGACAGGCUUUCAACAUAACUGGAAAUUCUCAUCCCCAGAUCACUAGAUGGCUCAAGAUGAUUCAGGAUAUGGCUGGAAGAACGGAUGACACAUUCUUUAUGGCCUGGCUUGCGGUUGCCUUCAGCACUUUUCUAGCACCAACCACGGCCUUGAAGCUCAGCCCAAAGUGUUAUGGACUUGUGCUAGAUCAUCAAAUGCUAAAGAAUACAAACAUCUGCCUCUUUGUAGCAGAACACAUUAACGAAGCUUUCCGGAACAUGGACCAGGAGAAGCAAACUGUCUGCUGCUGCUUGUAUCACUUGAUGGUUAGUGAAAACGACCACUUUUUUCCAUCUGUUCCUGUUCUUUCUGUGCAGUUAUAG
RNAcentral lists this ribosomal RNA (744 nucleotides) under Triticum aestivum (bread wheat). RNAcentral describes it as "partial small subunit ribosomal RNA". Lineage: Eukaryota; Viridiplantae; Streptophyta; Magnoliopsida; Poales; Poaceae. The record is from RNAcentral.